GACGAACGCUGGCGGCGUGCUUAAGACAUGCAAGUCGAGCGGACCGCUUCGGCGGUUAGCGGCGGACGGGUGAGUAACACGUGGAUAACCUGCCUGGCUAUCCGGGACAACAGACCGAAAGGUCUGCUAAUACCGGAUAAGCUCACGAAAGCGCAUGCUUUUGGGAGAAAAGCUCCUUUAGGGGAGUGCAGCCAGAGGGGUCCGCGCCCCAUUAGCUAGUUGGUGUGGUAAAGGCGCACCAAGGCGACGAUGGGUAGCCGGCCUGAGAGGGCGAACGGCCACACUGGGACUGAGACACGGCCCAGACUCCUACGGGAGGCAGCAGUCGGGAAUUUUGCACAAUGGCCGAAAGGCUGAUGCAGCAACGCCGCGUGAGUGAAGAAGGCCUUCGGGUUGUAAAGCUCUGUUGCCCGUGAAGAACGGCCAUGUCAGGAAAUGGGCAUGGUUUGACGGUAGCGGGAGAGGAAGCCCCGGCUAACUACGUGCCAGCAGCCGCGGUAAUACGUAGGGGGCGAGCGUUGUCCGGAUUUAUUGGGCGUAAAGGGCGUGUAGGCGGCCGUUUAAGUCGGGGGUGAAAAUCCAGGGCCCAACCCUGGGACUGCCUCUGAAACUGGAUGGCUUGAGUGCUCUAGAGGGUAGUGGAAUUGCCGGUGUAGCAGUGAAAUGCGUAGAGAUCGGCAGGAACACCAGUGGCGAAGGCGACUGCCUGGGGAGUAACUGACGCUGAGGCGCGAAAGCUGGGGGAGCAAACGGGAUUAGAUACCCCGGUAGUCCCAGCCGUAAACGAUGAGUGCUAGGUGUGAGGGGUAUCG
Molecule: ribosomal RNA, 812 nt
Filed under: uncultured bacterium
Lineage: Bacteria
Description: bacterial SSU rRNA
Rfam family: Bacterial small subunit ribosomal RNA
Source: RNAcentral